Non-coding RNA from Equus caballus (horse), 1674 nucleotides. NCBI's taxonomy places the organism in Eukaryota, Metazoa, Chordata, Mammalia, Perissodactyla, Equidae. The record is from RefSeq and is a predicted model, not a curated record.
CUCUCUGCUGGGUCCUUGCUACUCAAAGUGUGUGGUCCUCAGACAGGAAGCACGCAGGUCACUGGGGAGCUUGUUAAAGGACUCUCCACACCCACUGAGACCUGCUGAAUCAGGCUAUUUCAGAUGAAUCAUCUCCUUGAGUUCUCAGAGCCGGCUUAUGACAUAGAUAGGAUGGGAAUUAUCACCAUGGAAAUUUUUGUAGUAUAUGUUUUCUAAAAUCGGUCUUUUGCUUUUAAUUGUAGUUUCUUCUUCACUUUAGCCAUUUCCAGGAGCUCAGAAGCAAUUUCCGUGUUCACAGCUCUUCUUGGGUGGUUCACUCUGAUGAGCUGAGCUGCCAUGUUGCCAGCUGCUCUGUGGAAAUUCCUGCACAUCAAGGCAUUGAAUGCAGCCUUCAGCCAACAGCCAGUGCAAGAACUCAUAAGGAACUGAAUCCUGCCAACAGCCACUGAAUGAGCUUCGAAGCAGAUCGACCCCUCUCUUGAGCCCAGAGAUGACUUUAGCCCUGGCGGACGCUUUGAUUGCAGCCUGAGAGAGACCCAGAGUCAGAGGACCCAGAACAACUCCAGACUAUGAAAGAAAAGGCUGAGAGCUGAUUGAGAAGUUGAAGGGUUUCUUCAGAGUGAGAGCUGCAUCUUUUCCUGUGAUUCCCACCCCUCACCUCUAUGGAGAAGACAUCCUUCCCCUUUACUUGGGCUAGUUGGGAACAUGGAGUGAAGGGCUCACAGACCUGGUACAAGGAGUUACAACAGACACUCGGAGGAACUGAAGUGGCUUCCUGCACUCCUUCCGGCCUGAAACUUCCUUUGUUCCUGUAAUCUCAAAACAGCUGUUUCCUCUGGAAUCACAAACCCCAGCUGGCAGAGCCUCUGCCUCCUGGAUCCUGCUGCACAUAAUACUGUUAAUGAUUCCAGAGGGAAACUUCUAGAAACAACGUGAGAGAUUAUCGCUGUUAACUCUCUAAACAAGGUGCUGCGCUGAAGGUAGAGUGUUGAACCCGGUUCCUUUUCUCGGUUGGGCAGGGUCAAAGUGCCAACAGUGAAGAAUCCAGUCUGGGAAAUCACAGUGCCAGUUAUACCUGCAGUCAUGGAAAAGGAUGACAACAAGGAGACACAGAGAUUUUUGAGUUUGAAGUACCUUUUCAGACACCUGCAGAUUCAACUGGAGGCCGUGGGUUCACAACGAUGCUGCUUUUUCAUCUGCUCUGAACUUGCUCUUACACAGGCGUUGAUAAAAACAGGGCAUACAGGAAAUAACAUGGAUUUAGGAACCUUGCAGACCUGGUUUGUGACAUAUAUGUCAACUCUGUUGUCUUAUGCAAUUUACUUGACUUGUGUGAGCCUCGCUUUUUAUUGGCAAGUGAAGAUCAUAACCUAGUUUGCUUUGCUGCUAUGAGGGUUGAAUGUCUCAAAAAAUACAAUGUUCCCAAUACAGUGUAAUAUCCUUGUUCUUGUCUCACUUUCCAUAGAGAGAGGAAACUCCCCUGCUGGACCCCCCCCAGAGGCACCAAUGGGUUUUCUACAGAUCUCAAUAUAACCCAACUUUCUCUUAUUUCCAUAGUUACUUACCUUUUCCACAAGUACAUCCUUCUCUUGGGUUACUGGCAUUUUGAAAAUAGGCUAUUCCAAGAUGCAUUUCCCUUUCCUGUACUUGAAGUGGUCCUAAUCCACACCAAAG